This 532-nucleotide long non-coding RNA is filed under the name Ananas comosus (pineapple). RNAcentral's name for it is "long non-coding RNA (ACOM_LNC041553)". The record is from RNAcentral. Lineage: Eukaryota; Viridiplantae; Streptophyta; Magnoliopsida; Poales; Bromeliaceae.
AUGAAAAUGUAAUGAUGCAUGAUUGUGAGUACAACUUGCAUAAUAUGAUGAGUGAGAACUAUGUGAAUGUCGAAAAUCCUAUGUGUAUGCAUGAGAGAAAAGUGAGCACCCAAAGUGAGCAAAAGAGCAGAGUGGCACAAUGACCUAGAUCGAGUGGCAUUUGAUAAAGUUAAAGUGAAACGACACUAGAGAUAGUGUGAGGUAAAGAACCAAUGUAAUGUAAAGAAUGAUGAAAAUGACAAUGUUUAAAGUUAAAGUAAUGUGGGGAGUAAAGAACACGAAGUGUUAGAGGUAGCCAAAAGUAAAGAAUGUAAAGAAUAUAAUUGCUAGAGUUAGCAAAAGUAAAAGAAAUGUAAAGAAUGUGAUUGCAUGAGUUUGCAACAUAAAGUGAUGUAAAGAACACUAGAGCUAGUGUAAAGUCAAGAUUGAACUUAUAAAUCCUUUGAGUUAAGGAUAUGAUCAUACUUGCUAUGAGUUCCGUGCUCGAGGGCGGUCGCUCCCCCUCGGGCGAUGCGCUCCGGAGUUAUGCAUC